Molecule: long non-coding RNA, 454 nt
Organism: Apis laboriosa (Himalayan honeybee)
Lineage: Eukaryota; Metazoa; Arthropoda; Insecta; Hymenoptera; Apidae
Exons: 4
Source: RefSeq, a predicted model, not a curated record
UGUGUUGCGUAGUAUUUAUUUUCAUAAUUGUUCUUUAUUAUUCAUAUAUUAGUGUGUGUUAUUAAUACAUGUUUCUUAUCAUAAUUAGAAAUUCCUUUGGUGACUAAAUUAUUCUUUUUCUUUCAUUUAUCUAUAUUUUAGUAUAACAGAAUGUUAAUUUUUGGAUUAACUUCGAGCGGGAAAAGUUCCAAUAUGGACGCCAUCAUGUCACGUAAUGACGCAGUAAAAUUUGAUAUUUUAUGCUUCACCAUGUCCACAACUACUAUGACAAUGGUCUUCUUGAUUACUUCCUAGUAAACGUUCUUCGCUUCAAACGCGUUGACUCCAACGACCUUGGGCGGACAUCUGCGCACAGGUUGCUCGAGAGUGUUUACGAUUCCAACGUCGAGAAUCCACAAGAUAUCUUGCACGUCCAAAACAAUGUCAACAGCGCUUUGUAACGCCUGGCAAUUGC